UUAUCACUGAAAAAAUUGUUUUAUUAUUGUAAUAAAUGUGUCACAGAAAAGACAAAAUCUCAAACUAAACAAAUCUAUCAGUUUUAAACACAAAUGCCAGGUCACCUUGCACAAAUAUGACGGACACAUUGCCUCUACACUUUCCAAGUGACAUACAACAAUCUUGACCUGGGCCCCUAGCAACAUUUUGAUACCAAGCAAGUCUUGGCUUUAUACACUGCUCAUAA
Molecule: non-coding RNA, 227 nt
Organism: Biomphalaria pfeifferi
Lineage: Eukaryota; Metazoa; Mollusca; Gastropoda; Planorbidae
Source: the annotation of a GenBank genome assembly